AGAAGAGGGUGCUCAUGACAUACCCAAGAGCCAAGCUUCGGCUUGUCAUAAAACCUUGGCAGAAGUCAUUUUCAGCUUAAGGCAGCUAAACCAUUUUUGUUUCAUAAUUACCAGAAGAAACCUUUGGGUCCAUUUAAAUUCAAACCUGUUUGUUACAGAUGAAGAAAUGGAGGCUCCAAGUGGUCAAGUGACAUUUCAAAGCUCCAGAGUGCUGCAAUUACAAGUCUACAACCCCACCCCUCAUGGAUGGAUAUCCUUCCAAAAUGUGAGCAUGAAAAAUUUUAGAAGUGUGUGUGUGUGUGUGUGUGUGUGUGU
Molecule: long non-coding RNA, 315 nt
Organism: Rattus rattus (black rat)
Lineage: Eukaryota; Metazoa; Chordata; Mammalia; Rodentia; Muridae
Exons: 3
Source: RefSeq, a predicted model, not a curated record